UUAGAGAUUGAUGAUACACCUUUAUGAAAGCUUAUAAGUUUUCAUUUGUAAACCCGGCCGGUGGAUUUUGUAUCCGACACAUGAAAUAAGUUAAUCGAAAGUCUAAAGAAAAUAAUCAAUAAAUUAAAUCGUCAGUAAUUUAAUUUAUUUAAUUAGUAUCUGAGUCUUAACAUGAGGAGUUAAAUAAGAUUUAAUGGAUGAAUUUCGAAAUUGGAUAAGGAGUGCAGUUACGGAUUUUUAGUGGAAUAAUU
Molecule: long non-coding RNA, 251 nt
Filed under: Nicotiana benthamiana
Lineage: Eukaryota; Viridiplantae; Streptophyta; Magnoliopsida; Solanales; Solanaceae
Description: long non-coding RNA (NBEN_LNC028491)
Source: RNAcentral